Long non-coding RNA from Bactrocera oleae (olive fruit fly), 2599 nucleotides. RefSeq lists it as uncharacterized. The record is from RefSeq and is a predicted model, not a curated record. NCBI's taxonomy places the organism in Eukaryota, Metazoa, Arthropoda, Insecta, Diptera, Tephritidae.
AAGCUGAGACCUUGCACUGAUUGCAUAAAUAGAAAAUGAAAUUACUUAUUUUUUGCAGUUUUCGAGAUAGUAUGUAUUACUAUAAUAUUAUAACAGGACUAUGUUAAAUUCAAGUAACAAGGCUUUGAUUUAUAUAAAUACAUACAAGUACUUGUAUAUGUACAUAUCAAUGUAUGUAUAUGUGAAUAAUACUUUAAGCGAUUAAACUUUAAACCACCAGCACCCGGAUUAGUUCGAUCUCAGUUCGGUUUUGGAUUAAAAUUGACAGAAGACCGGUUUGGUUCGUCGAAAAAAAUUGCUGUUGGGUUCUUCUUUCAUAUUGUAUUUGCUGUAGCAGCAUCCUGGUCGGUUUCGGUUUCGGUUUAGGUCUAUUAGGAACGAUCUACCCCUCUGAAAAUAGGACACUGCAUGUUCUUAAGACAUUCUUUCUCAUCCUGAUCUGUCUGUCAGCCAUUUCGUAAAUUUCAUUGUAUAUCGUUUUUAGUGACUUUCGUAUUUCCCGUACUUGUUUGGUAGCCAAAUGGACGGCACUCUUGUUGUUCGGUUGUUUCGUUUCCCGGAAUUCCUUUGUGGUCUGAAGCCCAGCAUAUAUGCAGCCGCUUUCCGGCAGCCACUACAUCUACUGCCUCAUUGCUUCUGAGGACAUUAUCUGUUGUAAUGCGAAGUGAGAUUAUUGCCUUAAUUGCCGCUUGCUGCUGCCGAAAAGAAGGAAGUAGCCAAAAAGGAAGAGUCGGAGUCAGAUGAAGACGACGAUAUGAAUUUCGGUCUCUUCGACUAAUCACCUCAACAUUAAAGUUUCUUCACUUCCAAAAUGUUAACAAAAUAUAGAGCGCAUCGUGUGGCUGAACUGGAUGCGCUUCUAUUAUUCCAAGAUCAAUCAGAAUGGCAAAAAACAACCUUUUUACCGACUAAGUUUCUCCAGACACAUGUCGAUGAACGGUACGAUGGGAAGGAAUAGUCUUAAUAUUAUUCCGUAAUUCGAAAUUUUGGGCCGGUUUGAAAGUGACAUCUUCUAGACGACGGGGGCGAGCUUGCUUCAAUAUCAGCAAAGCGAAGAGCGUGUGAUGGGUUUGACGACUGGUGGUCUGGCCGUGUAUUGUUCAAAUUGAGUAUGUUGUUGGGAAGUAUACUGAAAUCUAUAUUCUCAUUACAGAAAGCUCAAUGAAAUGCGCGCAAAAUGUUCCCGUACAAUCUCUGUUCACAUCGGUUUAGAUAGGCUAUGCGGUAAGGACGAAAUUUGUUACAGAUAUAAUCGUAGUAGUAGUAGUAAAUCCUUUCAAAUCCACAGACGAUCGACUGGUUUACUAUUUUUAUAUUUUUCAUAUGUUAUUUAAUAAGAUUUUCUCAUUACUUUAGCGCUAUUUUAACAUUUUAUGUUCAUAAAAGCCCAAAAAGUUACACGUAAGCUUUUGGUAAUUAAAUUUACGUUAAGUGAUUCCAUAUUUAUUGUAGCUACUGUAUAUUUUAUGUUAGGUGUAUAUAGGUAUAUAUGUAUGUAUGUAAGUUUGUAUGCAUAUGUGCACAAAAUUUCUUGAGAUAAACUGUUUCAAUUAAAUUGAUUAACGCACAUUUGUGCUGCAGCGGUACUUUUCCAUCUGUUUCCAACCAUACUAAAUAGUUAUUGUUGGUCGGUCAGAUUAUGUAUUGCUAGGAAAUUGGUACACCAAUAUUGUGUUAAUAUUGUUGGUGUUGGAAUUAAAUUGCAUUGGUUUUGUUUACUUUAUUUUAUAAAAAAAUCAGCAAAAAAUAAGAUCAGACAUAUAGUAGAGAAUUAGAUUCAUUUGACAACAAGAUGCUGCGCCAUAAGUCUUGUGACUACUCAAUGUCUAGUGUACAAACUGAAUCUGUGCUGCUAGGCUUUAAUUGUAUGAACAGGAAUUUUCUGGUGGUGUCUGUUAUUACUUAAAUUAUUAUCCGUUAAUUGUUGGCUAAUUUGAGUAAGGAUGUUACGUCGUGUAUCAUUUACAUUUUCACCUGAUAUUAAUUUCUGGAUUAAUUAAUGCUGCUCAGAUGUAUUUCGUAUAUACCUAUUUAUACGUAUGUGAAAUCGCCAAAUUGUACAAAUAUAAAUGAACGCAAGCUGUAUCUGAAUUUUAUUUAUUCAUUGUUUCCAUCAAUUUUUGACAUAUUUUGUAUGAGUUCUUUUAUUGUAACUUAUAUGUAAUUAUUUAAUUGAAGAUAAAUUCUGUUCUUUUUCAUUUUGAAUAUUUAAAAUAUUUUAUAAUGUUUGGUAUUGUUAUAUUGUAUAUUUUUAUGUAUGUAAUUGUUUUUUGUGCUAUAAAAUGGUUCGAUUAAAUAUACGAUUACUUAUGAAGCGAUAAUGAAAGCUUAAGCAAAGUGGUAAAAUUAAAUUCUUCUCUAGAAAAUACAGUAAGCCAAUUACGUGCUAAAGCAUUAUCACACAUAAUAAGUACACGCUUAUCUGUUGCACAAUAUUAUUGAUUCAAUUCUACGAUGUAAUGAAUUUUUUUCCGGUCUCGAAAAUACGGUUUGUAACUGUUCAUAUCAACAUUAACCAAAAAGUACUAUACGAAUGCGACUAUUCGAAUAGUCCCUCUGCUGCGAGUAUUUUAAUAAAUGAAGAUUGUUUGAAAUCCAA